Octopus bimaculoides (California two-spot octopus) is the source of this 678-nucleotide long non-coding RNA. RefSeq lists it as uncharacterized. NCBI's taxonomy places the organism in Eukaryota, Metazoa, Mollusca, Cephalopoda, Octopoda, Octopodidae. The record is from RefSeq and is a predicted model, not a curated record.
CAGAAAGAGCGUCAACUAUAAUUGCUCACGUCAAUUAUGUUAACAUAAAACAAUGUUAAUCUAGCUUUAUGAAGUACCGCUAAACAAUCGAUGUUAAUAUCAAAAAGAGACACGUUAGUUCAACAUUUAGUUAGCAGAAGAGUUUGCACAGAAGAUAAAAUACUUAACGGCAUCUCUUUCGGUUUUACGUCCUGAGUUCAUAUUCCGCCGAGGUCGACUUUGCUUUUCAUCCGUUCGGGUGGUGUGGAUAUUAUUGGAUUAUAUAGUAGAAGUUACGCCUGCCCCAUAAAAAUGUGAUGCGAUAUUAAUGUUUACAGUCAAUUUAGGCGUUCAUCUCAAAGAGUGCCGUUAAAGAGAACACCUGGGAAGAUAACGAGUUGAGAAGAAUUGCAGAUUUCAUCUAACAACCGAGAUUCGAUUGUGAAACAUUUUCCUUGUUAUUCUGACACUGAAAGGAAAGAGAUCAUGUUUAAGGAACCUAAACGAAGCUUUCUUCGAACUACAAUAUAUAGGUAAACUAGCAGAGGCACCCGGCGUUGCUCGGGAAUGAAAUUGUUGCUUAUAUACUUGAAGAAAAAAAGGCAAAAUAUGCUGUAUAGAAAUUUGAGAGGACAUUCUGUAGAUGGACUCUCAGAUGAAUGAUGGCUGAGCGCCUCUCAUGAAUGGGGAAAAUUGAAG